This 460-nucleotide ribosomal RNA is filed under the name uncultured bacterium. Its description in RNAcentral is "bacterial SSU rRNA". It matches the Rfam family "Bacterial small subunit ribosomal RNA", at positions 26 to 518 of the family's 1533-position model. The record is from RNAcentral.
CUCGUCGUCAGAACGAACGCUGGCGGCAGGCCUAACACAUGCAAGUCGAGCGCGCCCUUCGGGGUGAGCGGCGGACGGGUUAGUAACGCGUGGGAACGUACCCUUUGGUAGGGAAUAGCCACUGGAAACGGUGAGUAAUACCCUAUGAGCCCUUCGGGGGAAAGAUUUAUCGCCAAAGGAUCGGCCCGCGUUAGAUUAGGUAGUUGGUGGGGUAAUGGCCUACCAAGCCUACGAUCUAUAGCUGGUUUUAGAGGAUGAUCAGCAACACUGGGACUGAGACACGGCCCAGACUCCUACGGGAGGCAGCAGUGGGGAAUCUUAGGACAAUGGGGGCAACCCUGAAUCCAGCCAUGCCGCGUGAGUGAAGAAGGCCUUAGGGUCGUAAAGCUCUUUCGCCUGUGAAGAUAAUGACGGUAGCAGGUUUUAAAGAAACCCCGGCUAACUCCGUGCCAGCCGCCGC